GCUCAGAUAUCCGAGUGUAAGUGAAUGCAGCAUCGGCUUCUGCGCUAUGUGCAUCAUGUUGGCAAAGGUAGUUAGCAAAGGUAGGAGAGCCAAGCACGAAAGACGGCACUACAGGAAACAAUUUUUCAGUGAAAGAAAAUGAGAACAGAAUAAAUGUCCAGAGGCCAGCAGGUGGAUGAGGGAAGGGGAGGCAGGAGGAGAGACCCGAGGCAGCCGCCGGUCCGAGUGUCAGGUGAACUGAACUUCAGGCUAUCCCACUGUGGACAUAGUUGAGUCACGAUUGGUACUGCAACAUAAGAGGCCGAUGACACCUUCCUCGUUAGUAUAGUGAUCCGCAGCCAUGCAGCCCGCCUCCUCUCCUUUCUCCUCCUCACUGUGGUCACUCAGAGCCCUGUCCCAGCCUCCAUCUUCAUCUUCAUUACUAUCAGCAUGUUGACUCUGGGGUGGUGGUUGUGCAACAUCCUGUCACUGCUGGGAUUCUUUCUGCUAUGAUGGGUCAUUGGAGUCUAACUGCCAAACAGUUACAUUUAUUUCUGUAUCUCAAUAAAUCAUGUUCGUUUUUUCCACAUGAUCUCUCCUUAUUGAACUGCUUUUGUAGAUAAGCUUCAAGCCAGAAAGCAACAAUACCUAAACCAAAAAUAUUAUCAUCAGAAGUGAGAAAGUGUCUGGACUAUCUCCAGCUGUGUUGCAU
Long non-coding RNA from Astatotilapia calliptera (eastern happy), 691 nucleotides. The record is from Ensembl. Lineage: Eukaryota; Metazoa; Chordata; Actinopteri; Cichliformes; Cichlidae.